This is a long non-coding RNA of Columba livia (rock pigeon), 477 nucleotides long. RefSeq lists it as uncharacterized. NCBI's taxonomy places the organism in Eukaryota, Metazoa, Chordata, Aves, Columbiformes, Columbidae. The record is from RefSeq and is a predicted model, not a curated record. The transcript has 3 exons.
CAGAAGUAUAUGAACAAUUUUAGUUGUGAUUAGACGGGCCAUGCCUACAACUCUGAAUUUAGGCAAAGCUUCGAUAGCUUGUGCUUAGGUAUUUCCUGUCACAUAGAAAUAAAAAGUUACUUAAUUUCUAGUUUUUAACAAGGAAGCAAUGAAAUGAAAACAACCUCUUCCCACAGAAGUGUUACCAAAAGUAUUAAGACAUGCUUGUCUUUCCCCUUGUCAGCAGAUCCUGCUGUGAGGCCGUGAAUCAACUCAUCUGUCGAAGAACCUUGUAGUGACGCAACAGCACCAGAAGGUCCGCAAAAUGCACCUAGGUGUUCAAGGACAGCAUUCAAAGUUCUGGUUAGAAGACAUGAGAAAGGACCUUUAGUGUGGUGCAAGGGGACGUUGGAGAGUUCCUGCAGUGAAUCACCUGAGCUAGACCGGUGCAGGCAACAUUCUCAGAUCUCCUCAGUAAGGUAAGGUAAGGAUACAGCC